GAGUGAACGCUGGCGGUAGGCCUACCCCAUGCAAGUCGAACGGCAGCGCAGUAAGAGCUUGCUCUUACGGGUGGCGAGUGGCGGACGGGUGAGGAAUACAUCGGAAUCUACUUUUUCGUGGGGGAUAACGUAGGGAAACUUACGCUAAUACCGCAUACGACCUACGGGUGAAAGCAGGGGAUCUUCGGACCUUGCGCGAUUGAAUGAGCCGAUGUCGGAUUAGCUAGUUGGCGGGGUAAAGGCCCACCAAGGCGACGAUCCGUAGCUGGUCUGAGAGGAUGAUCAGCCACACUGGAACUGAGACACGGUCCAGACUCCUACGGGAGGCAGCAGUGGGGAAUAUUGGACAAUGGGCGCAAGCCUGAUCCAGCCAUACCGCGUGGGUGAAGAAGGCCUUCGGGUUGUAAAGCCCUUUUGUUGGGAAAGAAAAGCAGCAGGUUAAUACCCCGCUGUUCUGACGGUACCCAAAGAAUAAGCACCGGCUAACUUCGUG
Molecule: ribosomal RNA, 493 nt
Filed under: uncultured bacterium
Lineage: Bacteria
Description: partial 16S ribosomal RNA
Rfam family: Bacterial small subunit ribosomal RNA
Source: RNAcentral